CGGACUGCGCGAACGGGGCGGACGGGCUCCCUGCAGGCCCGCGGGGAGGGGUGUCGGGCGCGGGCGGCCCCGGGACACAGCUCAGGACGAAGCCCUGAGCGGCACGCGAAAGGGAAACUGAGGCCCAGAGGGUGUGACUGAGGCCGAGACGUCUCUCAGUUCCUGUCCCAGACUAAGGGAGGCCCGCGGCCCUGCAGCCGAGACUUUCAGUUCGGGCGUUUCUGCAGGGGGCAAGAUUCUGCUUCUGCGGGGAGGCGCUGCUUCUAGGAGCUCUCCGUCUCUCCGGAAGGAGGGACAGGACUCAUACCCAGCUGGUCAGCUCGUGACACACGCCACUGUGGCCAAAUAAAACCAGUGACAAGGUGGAGAGCCCAGGACCUCCAUGGACAAGGGACAGGAAGAAGGGUGAGGGCAGGGAGGGGCUGGAGUUGAAUCCUCAAACGGGGAGGCAGGAGGACCCGGAGACAAAGGCAGGGGGCUGGACUGA
This is a long non-coding RNA of Symphalangus syndactylus (siamang), 487 nucleotides long. RefSeq lists it as uncharacterized. The record is from RefSeq and is a predicted model, not a curated record. Lineage: Eukaryota; Metazoa; Chordata; Mammalia; Primates; Hylobatidae.